Molecule: non-coding RNA, 1891 nt
Organism: Sus scrofa (pig)
Lineage: Eukaryota; Metazoa; Chordata; Mammalia; Artiodactyla; Suidae
Source: RefSeq, a predicted model, not a curated record
GAGUGCUUUUAACAGGAGUGUGACACGGUCAGAUGUAUAUUUUUAAAAGAUUGCUCUGGCUAUUGUACUGAAAAUAGCUGUAGCAAAGUCGGCAGGGUUAUCAACAGAUACAAUAAUCUAGGCGAGGCGUUAAAGCAGCGGCAGCUGGGAGGAAGAGAAUCAAUAUAUUUCUGUUGUUGAGUUGAUAGGACUUGGAGGUAGAUUAGAUGCAAGUGAUAAGAAGGGAAGAGGGGUUAAAAUCAGCUCUUAGUUUUGAACAACCAGGUGAACGGUGAUACCAUCCAUGGGAAUGUAGAAGACACAGGAUAAAACCUGGCUGGGUCUCAGCAGACUAAGUCCAUGCCCAAGGAACUCUACUGAGUAAAAAUCAACGAAAAGGAUUGAGGCUGAAGAAGGAGCCCAAAUUUAGGAUAUGGUGGUUUUGUGGCAAAGGAGAAAAAGCCAGAAAAAUGGAGGAAACUCAUAAUGCCUCUUCAAGCUUAGAUGCUGCAUAAAACCUUGUUGCUUAAAUUUGGUCUGAUGACUACCCACUUCAACAUCAGUUGGGAGUGUGUUAGAAAUACAAUAUCUUGGGCCCUCUCUAGACCAACUGAAUAUGAACCUUCAUCUUAGCAGGCUCCUCAAGCUAUUGGUAGACACAUUAAAGUUUGAGAAAUACUGUGUACAUCACACUCCCUCACAGUCACUGACUUAAGUACUUCACGUGGCCAAAGCUCAAUGUGGAUCAGUGCAGUGUAUAUCCACAGGGAGAUACUGCAAGUCACAUGGAAAUGGGCAGGGAUAAAUAAUAUUUCAGGGAGCAGAACAUUUGAAAGAAUAAGACUCAUCUAUAGUCCUUAAAGCUGCAAUGUAUAACCAAUGAACUAAUUACUUCUUUUUUUUUUCACUUUAUUGGAGUAUAGUUGACUUAGAGUGUUGUGUUUGUUUCAGAGGUACAAGCAAAGUAAAUCCAUUAUACACAAACAUACAUCCAUUCCUUUUCAGAUUCUUUUCUGAUAUAAGGUUAUUACACAGGAUUGACUUCUUGAGGUAGCCCAUUCCAAUUACUGAAUAUUUCUAUUCAUCUGGUUUUCAUCCAUUGAUUCUACUUUUGCCCUUUGCAAUGAAGAAAGCAUCUACUGCUUAGCCCAUAUAACUUUUAUUAGAGUUAAAUGCACUGCCUAUAUCCUUCCCUUUCCUCAGUAUUAUCAAAGUGAAACAGACCUCCUCUCUUCAGCAUUUUUCUUGGGUUUUUCAAUCCUACUAUCUGGUAUCAUUGUUUGGUAGUCAAGCUACUCAAGUUGGAGAAAGUAGAAUUGAAUCUGACACUUUUCAAUUUGUUUAUGGGUUUAUUAAGCAAGUAUGCAUUUGUGGCAGGAGCACAUCCUGGUUUGGGGAACCUGAAGCUUAAUAUAAUUCUAGGGAUUCUUUUUAAGAAAAAGAAUGCUAAAAUACUUCAGUUUUCCAAAUUUCACUUUGGCUCCUCCAAAGGCUUUGAAAGUGACCUAUAGGAGUGAGAGCCCCUGAAAGUUGAGCAUAAUUAGUUUCACAGUAAUUAUGCCACUGAAAUUGGGAUAUAAUGUAUGAAAAAUUGAGUUGAAAUGUCCUACAGUGUCAAUACGCUUAUUUGAAAAGGUAACUCUGGAAGGGUAAUUCAGGAAGAAGAAAAAAAAUAAGGUAGGGAGGAUUGAAAAAUAGUUACCUAUAAGCUAGAAUCAGGAAUUUGAGUGAAAUGGGCAGUUAAAGCCAGAUUAAUAUCCUGUUUUUCCUUCUGUCUUUUAUCUCCCAGAAUAUGAAUAAAAUCAUAAACCAGAUAGGACCAUUAGAAAAUUCAAUAAAAUGCUAAUUAAGAAAACCAAUGAAAGAAUUUGUGUGAAUUUACACAUAUAUAUUUCCUCUUCUCUGUCAUCCA